Molecule: ribosomal RNA, 387 nt
Filed under: Salmonella enterica subsp. enterica serovar Poona
Lineage: Bacteria; Pseudomonadati; Pseudomonadota; Gammaproteobacteria; Enterobacterales; Enterobacteriaceae
Description: partial 23S ribosomal RNA
Rfam family: Bacterial large subunit ribosomal RNA (bases 1-331)
Source: RNAcentral
UGUUUCGGCUAGGGGGCCAUCCCGGCUUACCAACCCGAUGCAAACUGCGAAUACCGGAGAAUGUUAUCACGGGAGACACACGGCGGGUGCUAACGUCCGUCGUGAAGAGGGAAACAACCCAGACCGCCAGCUAAGGUCCCAAAGUCAUGGUUAAGUGGGAAACGAUGUGGGAAGGCCCAGACAGCCAGGAUGUUGGCUUAGAAGCAGCCAUCAUUUAAAGAAAGCGUAAUAGCUCACUGGUCGAGUCGGCCUGCGCGGAAGAUGUAACGGGGCUAAACCAUGCACCGAAGCUGCGGCAGCGAACGUAUCACCCAAGACAACUUUACGGAGUUAACGAUUGACGGAGCGAAGCGACGUCAAAGCGUUCAUUAAAGUCGAGUUGGCUUA